This 253-nucleotide ribosomal RNA is filed under the name uncultured bacterium. Its description in RNAcentral is "partial 16S ribosomal RNA". It matches the Rfam family "Bacterial small subunit ribosomal RNA", at positions 524 to 776 of the family's 1533-position model. The record is from RNAcentral.
AACGUAGGUUCCGAGCGUUAUCCGGAUUUACUGGGCAUAAAGCGCGUGUAGGCGGUUCGGUAAGUCCGCUGUGAAAGUCGGGGGCUCAACCCUCGAAAGCCGGUGGAUACUGUCGAACUAGAGUGCGGAAGAGGCGAGUGGAAUUCCUGGUGUAGCGGUGAAAUGCGCAGAUAUCAGGAGGAACACCAAUUGCGAAGGCAGCUCGCUGGGACGUUACUGACGCUGAGACGCGAAAGCGUGGGGAGCAAACAGG